This 519-nucleotide ribosomal RNA is filed under the name uncultured Sphingobacterium sp. RNAcentral's name for it is "bacterial SSU rRNA". It matches the Rfam family "Bacterial small subunit ribosomal RNA", at positions 9 to 521 of the family's 1533-position model. The record is from RNAcentral. Lineage: Bacteria; Pseudomonadati; Bacteroidota; Sphingobacteriia; Sphingobacteriales; Sphingobacteriaceae.
GAGUUUGAUCAUGGCUCAGAUUGAACGCUAGCGGCAGGCUUAAUACAUGCAAGUCGUGGGGCAGCAGGGCUGUAGCAAUACAGUCGCUGGCGACCGGCAAACGGGUGCGGAACACGUACGCAACCUUCCUUCAAGUGGGGGAUAGCCCGGGGAAACCCGGAUUAAUACCCCGUAAUAUAAUGAGGUGGCAUCACCUUAUUAUUAUAGCUCCGGCGCUUGAAGAUGGGCGUGCGCCUGAUUAGGUAGUUGGCGGGGUAAUGGCCCACCAAGCCUACGAUCAGUAACUGGUGUGAGAGCACGACCAGUCACACGGGCACUGAGACACGGGCCCGACUCCUACGGGAGGCAGCAGUAAGGAUAUUGGGCAAUGGACGCAAGUCUGACCCAGCCAUGCCGCGUGGAGGAUGAAGGUCCUCUGGAUUGUAAACUUCUUUUAUCUGGGAAGAACCCAAGGUUUCUACUUUGGUUGACGGUACCAGAUGAAUAAGCACCGGCUAACUCCGUGCCAGCCGCCGCAGU